RNAcentral lists this long non-coding RNA (459 nucleotides) under Sander lucioperca (pikeperch). RNAcentral's name for it is "lncRNA (ENSSLUG00000024192.1)". Lineage: Eukaryota; Metazoa; Chordata; Actinopteri; Perciformes; Percidae. The record is from RNAcentral.
AAUGGUGGAAUUUCCAGUCUUUGGUGGCACCAAAGAAGUCCCUUUUUACAGGACAUCCUGGAUGCCUACGAGUCCAGGAUGUCCUGUAAAGGGACUUUGCAAAGUAAAGGAACUUUGCAAAGUAAAGGUCGGGUCUGUCGCAAGCUGAAGGCCCCUCUUUCAGCCUGCGACAGAGUCACAAAAAUUUAUAAAUAUCAAAAGAAGAAAGCGGCCCGAUCAGCAGCCUCUCUUCCACCACCUCCGCAAAUGGAAGAAGUCCACGACAUGGCUUCCAGAAGGGGCAGCUGGAGAUGUCGGUGGGCUGUCCGACGACCCCGGGAUGGACAACUGUGAGGACGAUGAUGAGCAGGAUGAAGGUGUUGAGGACACGUUCCCAAGCUGGAGUCAUAAAAACCUACUUGAUUUUGUUUUUUACUUUGUCUAUUUUACAUAAUUCAAAAUAAAGAUUUUAACUCACGC